CGAUGGGGGAUAACUGCGCGAAAGCGUUGCUAAUACCGCAUACGACCUACGGGUGAAAGCAGGGGACCGCAAGGCCUUGCGUCGAUGGAGCGGCCGAUGCCGGAUUAGCUAGUUGGUGAGGUAAAGGCUCACCAAGGCGACGAUCCGUAGCUGGUCUGAGAGGACGACCCAGCCACACUGGGACUGAGACACGGCCCAGACUCCUACGGGAGGCAGCAGUGGGGAAUCUUGGACAAUGGGCGAAAGCCUGAUCCAGCAAUGCCGCGUGUGGGAAGAAGGCCUUCGGGUUGUAAACCACUUUUGGCGGGAAAGAAAUGGUCUGUGCUAAUACCACGGAUUGAUGACGGUACCCGCAGAAUAAGCACCGGCUAACUACGUG
Molecule: ribosomal RNA, 379 nt
Filed under: uncultured bacterium
Lineage: Bacteria
Description: bacterial SSU rRNA
Rfam family: Bacterial small subunit ribosomal RNA
Source: RNAcentral